GAUGAACGCUAGCGGCAGGCUUAAUACAUGCAAGUCGAACGGUAAGUUUGGUAGCAAUAUCAAACCAAGAGUGACGUACGGGUGCGUAACACGUAUGCAACCUACCUUGUACAGGAGUAUAGCUCGGGGAAACUCGAAUUAACCCUCCAUGAGAUCAUAGAAUGGCAUCAUUUAGUGAUUAAACUCAGGUGGUACAAGAUGGGCAUGCGUCUG
Molecule: ribosomal RNA, 213 nt
Filed under: uncultured bacterium
Lineage: Bacteria
Description: partial 16S ribosomal RNA
Rfam family: Bacterial small subunit ribosomal RNA
Source: RNAcentral